Molecule: long non-coding RNA, 505 nt
Organism: Parasteatoda tepidariorum (common house spider)
Lineage: Eukaryota; Metazoa; Arthropoda; Arachnida; Araneae; Theridiidae
Source: RefSeq, a predicted model, not a curated record
UGCCAUUGUUGUUGAACCUUUAUAAAUAUGUUUUAGGAAAAGACAUUUAUAACAUUUUUAACAUGAGUAUUUUAGGCUCAAUAGUCCUGUUCAUCAUAAAAGCAAUCGUCGCUUUACUUUAGAAAAAUGAAGCUUUUCGUUUUUUGCCUAAUCUUUUUCUUGGUUUCUGCAUAUGCCAUACCAUAUGAAAAAAGCGAUGCUCUCGGAGGGUUGAAUAAAACGAAAGGAAAAGUUCCAGAAGCUUCCAAUGAGAAGAAAGAUACUAUUCUUAAACGAUAUGGAAACGGAAGAAUUGGACGCUUAGAGUUCUUUAGAUUUUAUUUGGAUAGGAAAAAUAAAGAUAGGAAGAAAAGAUAUUAAUCAAAUGUCAACAACAUAUUUGAAAUAAUUUUAAAGAUGAAGAAUCAUGGCGUUUGAAGGAUAAAAUGAUAUUGUUUUCUACUUUUAUUGAAGAUAUGUAUAUUUGUUAAUACUAUAAAUAAAGCUUUUCUUUCGAAUUCAGAAA